RNAcentral lists this ribosomal RNA (460 nucleotides) under uncultured bacterium. RNAcentral's name for it is "partial 16S ribosomal RNA". It matches the Rfam family "Bacterial small subunit ribosomal RNA", at positions 338 to 795 of the family's 1533-position model. The record is from RNAcentral.
CCUACGGGAGGCAGCAGUGAGGAAUAUUGGUCAAUGGGGGAGAGCCUGAACCAGCCAAGCCGCGUGAAGGAUGAAGGAUCUCUGGUUUGAAAACUUCUUUUAUAUGGGAAUAAAGUGAGGAACGCGUUCCUUUUUGUAAGUACCAUAUGAAUAAGCACAGGCUAAGUCCGUGCUAGCAGCCGCGGUAAUACGGAGGAUGCAAGCGUUAUCCGGAUUUAUGGGGUUUAAAGGGGGCGUAGGUGGUUAAUUAAGUCAGCGGUGAAAGUUUGUGGCUCAACCAUUAAAUUGCAGUUGAAACUGGUUGACUUGAGUAUAUUAGAGGUAGGCGGAAUGCGUGGUGUAGCGGUGAAAUGCAUAGAUAUUACGAAGAACUCCGAUGGCGAAGGCAGCUUACUAAACUAUAACUGACGCUGAGGCACGAAAGCGUGGGGAUCAAACAGGAUUAGAUACCCUAGUAGUC